GGCUACCAUGCAGUCGAGGGGCAGCAUUUUAGUUUGCUUGCAAACUAAAGAUGGCGACCGGCGCACGGGUGAGUAACACGCUAUCCAACCUGCCGAUAACUCGGGGAUAGCCUUUCGAAAGAAAGAUUAAUAUCCGAUAGUAUAUUAAAACCGCAUGGUUUUACUAUUAAAGAAUUUCGGUUAUCGAUGGGGAUGCGUUCCAUUAGUUUGUUGGCGGGGUAACGGCCCACCAAGACUACGAUGGAUAGGGGUUCUGAGAGGAAGGUCCCCCACAUUGGAACUGAGACACGGUCCAAACUCNUACGGGAGGCAGCAGUGAGGAAUAUUGGUCAAUGGACGAGAGUCUGAACCAGCCAAGUAGCGUGAAGGAUGACUCCCCUAUGGGUUGUAAACUUCUUUUAUAUGGGAAUAAAGUAUUCCACGUGUGGGANUUUUGUAUGUACCAUAUGAAUAAGGAUCGGCUAACUCCGUGCCAGCAGCCGCGGUAAUACGGAGGAUCCGAGCGUUAUCCGGAUUUAUUGGGUUUAAAGGGAGCGUAGGUGGAUUGUUAAGUCAGUUGUGAAAGUUUGCGGCUCAACCGUAAAAUUGCAGUUGAAACUGGCAGUCUUGAGUACAGUAGAGGUGGGCGGAAUUCGUGGUGUAGCGGUGAAAUGCUUAGAUAUCACGAAGAACUCCGAUUGCGAAGGCAGCUCACUAGACUGCAACUGACACUGAUGCUCGAAAGUGUGGGUAUCAAACAGGAUUAGAUACCCUGGUAGUCCACACAGUAAACGAUGAAUACUCGCUGUUUGCGAUAUACAGUAAGCGGCCAAGCGAAAGCAUUAAGUAUUCCACCUGGGGAGUACGCCGGCAACGGUGAAACUCAAAGGAAUUGACGGGGGGCCCCGCACAAGCGGAGGAACAUGUGGUUUNAAUUCGAUGAUACGCGAGGAACCUUACCCGGGCUUAAAUUGCAUUUGAAUAAUCUGGAAACAGGUUAGCCGCAAGGCAAAUGUGAAGGUGCUGCAUGGUUGUCGUCACCUCGUGCCGUGAGGUGUCGGCUUAAGUGCCAUAACGAGCGCAACCCUUAUCUUUAGUUACUAACAGGUNAUGCUGAGGACUCUAGAGAGACUGCCGUCGUAAGAUGUGAGGAAGGUGGGGAUGACGUCAAAUCAGCACGGCCCUUACGUCCGGGGCUACACACGUGUUACAAUGGGGGGUACAGAAGGCAGCUACCUGGCGACAGGAUGCUAAUCCCAAAAACCUCUCUCAGUUCGGAUCGAAGUCUGCAACCCGACUUCGUGAAGCUGGAUUCGCUAGUAAUCGCGCAUCAGCCAUGGCGCGGUGAAUACGUUCCCGGGCCUUGUACACACCGCCCGUCAAGCCAUGAAAGCCGGGGGUACCUGAAGUACGAACCGCAAGAGCUCCAGGNAAU
Molecule: ribosomal RNA, 1414 nt
Filed under: bacterium NLAE-zl-C253
Lineage: Bacteria
Description: bacterial SSU rRNA
Rfam family: Bacterial small subunit ribosomal RNA
Source: RNAcentral